Molecule: transfer RNA, 71 nt
Filed under: Camelus bactrianus (Bactrian camel)
Lineage: Eukaryota; Metazoa; Chordata; Mammalia; Artiodactyla; Camelidae
Also listed under: 3 other names
Rfam family: tRNA
About the family: Transfer RNA (tRNA) molecules are approximately 80 nucleotides in length. Their secondary structure includes four short double-helical elements and three loops (D, anti-codon, and T loops). Further hydrogen bonds mediate the characteristic L-shaped molecular structure. tRNAs have two regions of fundamental functional importance: the anti-codon, which is responsible for specific mRNA codon recognition, and the 3' end, to which the tRNAs corresponding amino acid is attached (by aminoacyl-tRNA synthetases). tRNAs cope with the degeneracy of the genetic code in two manners: having more than one tRNA (with a specific anti-codon) for a particular amino acid; and 'wobble' base-pairing, i.e. permitting non-standard base-pairing at the 3rd anti-codon position.
Source: Rfam by way of RNAcentral
GGGAGUAUAGCUCAGUGGUAGAGCACAUGCUUGCAUGCACGAGGUCCUGGGUUCAAGCCCCAGUGCCUCCA